CUGGAGAGUGGCGCACGGGUGAGUAACGCGUGGGGACCUACCUCUUAGUGGGGGAUAACGGUUGGAAACGACCGCUAAUACCGCAUACGCCCUUCGGGGGAAAGAUUUAUCGCUAAGAGAUGGACCCGCGUUGGAUUAGAUAGUUGGUGAGGUAACGGCUCACCAAGUCAGCGAUCCAUAGCUGGUUUGAGAGGAUGAUCAGCCACACUGGGACUGAGACACGGCCCAGACUCCUACGGGAGGCAGCAGUGGGGAAUAUUGGACAAUGGGGGCAACCCUGAUCCAGCCAUGCCGCGUGAGUGAAGAAGGCCUUCGGGUUGUAAAGCUCUUUCAGAUGCGAAGAUGAUGACGGUAACAUCAGAAGAAGCCCCGGCUAAUUUCGUGCCAGCAGCCGCGGUAAUACGAAAGGGGCUAGCGUUGUUCGGAUUUACUGGGCGUAAAGGGCACGCAGGCGGUCUUGCCAGUCAGGGGUGAAAGCCCGAGGCUCAACCUCGGAACUGCCUCUGAUACUGUAAGACUUGAGACUA
This 527-nucleotide ribosomal RNA is filed under the name marine sediment bacterium BB0608_AND_3.2_1S9. RNAcentral's name for it is "bacterial SSU rRNA". It matches the Rfam family "Bacterial small subunit ribosomal RNA", at positions 88 to 650 of the family's 1533-position model. The record is from RNAcentral.